ACACGCGUGUUAUUUCCCUCAUCCAGUUUGCAUACCCACUCCCUUCAUCUCGCAUGCCCUAACCUGCUCUGAUGCUGACAAAGCAAUCUGCCACCGACGUCGGCCAAGCAGUCGUAUGGACAUACCUACUCUCAUCCCCCAAGAUUUCUGAUGGCCUGAGUUAUUUUCCAUUGUCUCUGCCCCAGACCGUCUACCCUUCAGUUCUCCAGAAUUUUCAGAAUCUCUUUAGCCACAACCAAGCAGUGAUUCAAAGGUCAUUGCAACCCCCCAAACAUUGAAUUGACGAAGUCCUCCACUCACAACUUCCUUCAUAUGGUGCCUUUCUGUUAGGAUGAUACUUAAGAGGGCUGUUAGCUUAAGCAAUAAUAAUAGGCCACAUCUCAGCAUGUGUCUCAUUCUCUAAGAAACGCUGCAAGGCCAAUGCUUUGAACAUAAAAAAGAAAGAGUUUGAGCAUAUAGGGGGUCACGUCCUUUCCUCAAACACAUGGAAGCUGCUAAACAGUGCAGGAGAAGCUGCGUAAUUGUUGAAGCUGCCAUUGUGGUUUUUGUGAUUAUUUGAGGAGGUGGAAGGAUUUGGUUUGUGGUUUUGGACAGAGGACCAUUUGAGGUAAGAACCUCUUCUUCUCAUUACACUCAGUUCUAUUUGUUUUCUUAUUAACAGAUAUGGUAGUUGUCAAUGUCAUUGUGGUGUUGUUUGUUUAAAGGUAUUAAAAUGACAUACGUGUUUUGUAUUAUGUUGAGAAGUUAUGCAACCCUUGUUGGUUAAGGUGUGGAUUAUACUUUGGAUUUUAUGAUUUAUGUUUUCUAAUGGGUUUGUGCUAUGCAGGAUAUUAGUCUUUACAUUGGUUUCUCGGAAUUGUUUUCCUUCAUUUGUGGUUUCUCGGAAUUGUUUUCCUUCAUUUGUGGUAUUUGUUAUUAUCACAAAGGAAGAUGAUUGAUGAGUUUGAGAAGAUCAAGCAACAAUUAGCAGUGUUUGGGAAUUCCAUGAUAUUAGACUACAGUCCCUAUCCCACAGGUGUUAAAGAUCAUGACUACAAAACUUGGAAUUACAUAAGGCAACUACAUGCAUUUUUUUUUAGUCGAAACCUAGUCUUAGAGUGGGGAAAUAAUUAUACAGAACUUGGGUUUACCAAGGGCAAGAAUAUAUGGAGCUUGGCCUCCAGUCUUUGAGACUCUUCACUCGUUUAUAUCUACUAUUUUUGGAUAUGUUAUGUGUACUUGACUAACUAGUAUGCUCUUGUGUAAUUUUUAAUGAGAGAAACUUUUAUUCAUGUCA
This is an RNA transcript of Prunus dulcis (almond), 1276 nucleotides long. RefSeq lists it as uncharacterized. The record is from RefSeq and is a predicted model, not a curated record. Lineage: Eukaryota; Viridiplantae; Streptophyta; Magnoliopsida; Rosales; Rosaceae. The transcript has 7 exons.